CUUCCGUGGGCGCUGCAGAUUUGAGGAAGCCUGCUCCUAGUACGAGAGGACCGGAGUGGACACACCUCUGGUGUACCGGUUGUCACGCCAGUGGCAUUGCCGGGUAGCUAAGUGUGGAAGAGAUAACCGCUGAAAGCAUCUAAGCGGGAAACUCGUUCCAAGAUGAGAUCUGCCGGGGCCUUGAGCCCCCUAAAGAGUCGUUCAAGACCAGGACGUUGAUAGGUCAGGUGUGGAAGCGCAGUAAUGCGUUAAGCUAACUGAUACUAAUUGCUCGUGCGGCUUGACCCUAUAACUUUG
Molecule: ribosomal RNA, 297 nt
Filed under: Betaproteobacteria bacterium
Lineage: Bacteria; Pseudomonadati; Pseudomonadota; Betaproteobacteria
Description: partial 23S ribosomal RNA
Rfam family: Bacterial large subunit ribosomal RNA
Source: RNAcentral